GAUGAAGAACGCAGCGAAAUGCGAUAAGUAAUGUGAAUUGCAGAAUUCAGUGAAUCAUCGAAUCUUUGAACGCACAUUGCGCCCGCCAGCAUUCUGGCGGGCAUGCCUGUUCGAGCGUCAUUACAACCCUCAGGCCCCCGGGCCUGGCGUUGGGGAUCGGCGGAGCCCCCCGUGGGCACACGCCGUCCCCCAAAUGCAGUGGCGGUCCCGCCGCAGCUUCCAUCGCGUAGUAGCUAACACCUCGCGACUGGAGAGCGGCGCGGCCACGCCGUAAAACACCCAACUCUUCUGAAGUUGACCUCGAAUCAGGUAGGAAUACCCGCUGAACUUAAGCAUAUCAAUAAGCGGAGGA
This 352-nucleotide unclassified non-coding RNA is filed under the name soil metagenome. RNAcentral describes it as "partial contains 5.8S ribosomal RNA, internal transcribed spacer 2, and large subunit ribosomal RNA". The stretch from base 1 to 120 matches the Rfam family "5.8S ribosomal RNA", at positions 35 to 154 of the family's 154-position model. The record is from RNAcentral.